Pomacea canaliculata is the source of this 417-nucleotide long non-coding RNA. RefSeq lists it as uncharacterized. The record is from RefSeq and is a predicted model, not a curated record. The transcript is spliced from 3 exons. Lineage: Eukaryota; Metazoa; Mollusca; Gastropoda; Architaenioglossa; Ampullariidae.
UUUGGGGUUGCUGAACUUAGGACAAAAUCUUGUAAAGGUAUAUAAGCUUUGCGGAGUUGUUUUUUGUUAAGACACCUUGGUAACAUAACGUUUACUUUUACAGGAGAUCAACAUCUGACCCUUGAAGAAUUCGCCGCUGGAACACAUCCCGGUUCACCCCCUCUUGAAGUCGAGAAAGCUUUUAAAAUCUUCGACAAAAUGGACGGACAUGAAAAAGGCUUCAUAAGUCCGUCUUCUGCUGAAGCCCUUUUCAAAAGACUGGACAGCAACAACGACGGAAAACUCACACGUGAAGAGAUCGAACAGGAAUUUUCUGCUGCUCUUCAAGAAUUACAAGCACAGGCCUAGGUGAACUACUAAGUGACAGCCUGGUGUGACCCCUGCAUGAAGAGACUAUUAAAUCUUCAACUUUCUAAC